Molecule: ribosomal RNA, 215 nt
Filed under: uncultured methanogenic archaeon
Lineage: Archaea; Methanobacteriati; Methanobacteriota
Description: partial 16S ribosomal RNA
Rfam family: Archaeal small subunit ribosomal RNA
Source: RNAcentral
AGCAUCAUAUGCUGGCUGUCCGGGUGUGUAAAAUACACCUGUUAGCAAGGGCCGGGCAAGACCGGUGCCAGCCGCCGCGGUAACACCGGCGGCCCGAGUGGUGAUCGUGAUUAUUGGGUCUAAAGGGUCCGUAGCCGGUUUGGUCAGUCCUCCGGGAAAUCUGACGGCUUAACCGUUAGGCUUUCGGAGGAUACUGCCAGGCUUGGAACCGGGAG